AUUGAACGCUGGCGGCAUGCCUUACACAUGCAAGUCGAACGGUAACGCGGGGCAACCUGGCGACGAGUGGCGAACGGGUGAGUAAUAUAUCGGAACGUGCCCAGUAGUGGGGGAUAGCCCGGCGAAAGCCGGAUUAAUACCGCAUGAGACCUGAGGGUGAAAGCGGGGGAUCGCAAGACCUCGCGCUAUUGGAGCGGCCGAUAUCAGAUUAGGUAGUUGGUGGGGUAAAGGCCUACCAAGCCGACGAUCUGUAGCUGGUCCUGAGAGGACGACCAGCCACACUGGGACUGAGACACGGCCCAGACUCCUACGGGAGGCAGCAGUGGGGAAUUUUGGACAAUGGGCGCAAGCCUGAUCCAGCCAUGCCGCGUGCGGGAAGAAGGCCUUCGGGUUGUAAACCGCUUUUGUCAGGGAAGAAAUCUUCUGAGCUAAUACCUCGGGGGGAUGACGGUACCUGAAGAAUAAGCACCGGCUAACUACGUG
This 483-nucleotide ribosomal RNA is filed under the name uncultured bacterium. Its description in RNAcentral is "bacterial SSU rRNA". It matches the Rfam family "Bacterial small subunit ribosomal RNA", at positions 29 to 507 of the family's 1533-position model. The record is from RNAcentral.